Molecule: ribosomal RNA, 415 nt
Filed under: uncultured bacterium
Lineage: Bacteria
Description: bacterial SSU rRNA
Rfam family: Bacterial small subunit ribosomal RNA
Source: RNAcentral
UGGGGAAUCUUGCACAAUGGGGGCAACCCUGAUCCAGCCAUGCCGCGUGAGUGAAGAAGGCCCUCGGGUUGUAAAGCCCUUUUGUCCGGACAGAAAAGCAUUCGGUGAAUACCCGGAUGUUCUGACGGUACCGGAAGAAUAAGCACCGGCUAACUUCGUGCCAGCAGCCGCGGUAAUACGAAGGGUGCAAGCGUUACUCGGAAUUACUGGGCGUAAAGCGUGCGUAGGUGGUUGUUUAAGUCUGAUGUGAAAGCCCUGGGCUCAACCUGGUAAUGGCAUUGGAAACUGGGCAGCUAGAGUGCGGUAGAGUGGAGUGAAAUUCCCGGUGUAGCAGUAAAAUGCGUAGAGAUCGGGAGGAACAUCUGUUGCGAAGUCGACUGCCUGGACCAGCACUGUCACUGAGGCACGAAAGCGU